CCCUGGCUCAGGAUGAACGCUGGCGGCGUGCCUAAUACAUGCAAGUCGAGCGAAUGGAUUAAGAGCUUGCUCUUAUGAAGUUAGCGGCGGACGGGUGAGUAACACGUGGGUAACCUACCCAUAAGACUGGGAUAACUCCGGGAAACCGGGGCUAAUACCGGAUAAUAUUUUGAACUGCAUAGUUCGAAAUUGAAAGGCGGCUUCGGCUGUCACUUAUGGAUGGACCCGCGUCGCAUUAGCUAGUUGGUGAGGUAACGGCUCACCAAGGCAACGAUGCGUAGCCGACCUGAGAGGGUGAUCGGCCACACUGGGACUGAGACACGGCCCAGACUCCUACGGGAGGCAGCAGUAGGGAAUCUUCCGCAAUGGACGAAAGUCUGACGGAGCAACGCCGCGUGAGUGAUGAAGGCUUUCGGGUCGUAAAACUCUGUUGUUAGGGAAGAACAAGUGCUAGUUGAAUAAGCUGGCACCUUGACGGUACCUAACCAGAAAGCCACGGCUAACUA
RNAcentral lists this ribosomal RNA (506 nucleotides) under Bacillaceae bacterium CL3.137. RNAcentral describes it as "bacterial SSU rRNA". It matches the Rfam family "Bacterial small subunit ribosomal RNA", at positions 17 to 503 of the family's 1533-position model. RNAcentral also lists the same sequence under 2 other names. The record is from RNAcentral. Lineage: Bacteria; Bacillati; Bacillota; Bacilli; Caryophanales; Bacillaceae.